AAAAAAUCAAUCGUCGGAACCUAAAAUAGAGACAUACGAUUCUCUAUAAGCUACUAAAAAAUUGCAACGACCCGACCCGCUAGUAACAAUAACUCAUUGGGCCCAACCACCGGCCCAAAAUACUUAAGCCCAGUUAUUAUUACUAGCGUGUAGGUCUCAUAUAAAGUGAUCGGAAUCAGUAUCCAUCCGAUGUGGGACUAUUGGGGGCGUUACAAA
Molecule: long non-coding RNA, 216 nt
Filed under: Ananas comosus (pineapple)
Lineage: Eukaryota; Viridiplantae; Streptophyta; Magnoliopsida; Poales; Bromeliaceae
Description: long non-coding RNA (ACOM_LNC029465)
Source: RNAcentral